This 491-nucleotide ribosomal RNA is filed under the name uncultured bacterium. RNAcentral describes it as "partial 16S ribosomal RNA". It matches the Rfam family "Bacterial small subunit ribosomal RNA", at positions 29 to 507 of the family's 1533-position model. The record is from RNAcentral.
AGUGAACGCUGGCGGUAGGCCUAACACAUGCAAGUCGAACGGCAGCACAGUAAGAGCUUGCUCUUACGGGUGGCGAGUGGCGGACGGGUGAGGAAUACAUCGGAAUCUACUUUUUCGUGGGGGAUAACGUAGGGAAACUUACGCUAAUACCGCAUACGACCUACGGGUGAAAGCAGGGGAUCUUCGGACCUUGCGCGAUUGAAUGAGCCGAUGUCGGAUUAGCUAGUUGGCGGGGUAAAGGCCCACCAAGGCGACGAUCCGUAGCUGGUCUGAGAGGAUGAUCAGCCACACUGGAACUGAGACACGGUCCAGACUCCUACGGGAGGCAGCAGUGGGGAAUAUUGGACAAUGGGCGCAAGCCUGAUCCAGCCAUACCGCGUGGGUGAAGAAGGCCUUCGGGUUGUAAAGCCCUUUUGUUGGGAAAGAAAAGCAGCAGGUUAAUACCCCGCUGUUCUGACGGUACCCAAAGAAUAAGCACCGGCUAACUCGUG